GGUGGAGCGGCUACUCAGAGGGAAACCAGCCGGGAGUGGCUCCGGGCGGUGACGUGUCGCAGAGCAACAGCCCAGACCGGCAGGAUCAGGUGUUCUUCAGUGGUCCAUGUCUUGUAGAAUCUGGUGAAUCUACAACCAGGUAAAGUUUUUCAGGUUCUUUGAUGUGCUGUGCGAGGCGCUGCGUUUUAAUGGACCCGAGGCAGCCGUUCUUGGACACUCUUCUCAGCUGAGGUGAAAACAGUGAAACAGAAACACAACAAUUACAACAACAACAUCUACCAGGGCAGUGUGCCCGGCUCCUAAGUGACUGAUGGGACAGACAGUCGCCCAGAUAGGGACU
This 340-nucleotide long non-coding RNA is filed under the name Neogale vison (American mink). RNAcentral's name for it is "Neovison vison (American mink) lncRNA (ENSNVIG00000011426.1)". Lineage: Eukaryota; Metazoa; Chordata; Mammalia; Carnivora; Mustelidae. The record is from RNAcentral.